This is a long non-coding RNA of Syngnathus typhle (broad-nosed pipefish), 790 nucleotides long. RefSeq lists it as uncharacterized. NCBI's taxonomy places the organism in Eukaryota, Metazoa, Chordata, Actinopteri, Syngnathiformes, Syngnathidae. The transcript has 3 exons. The record is from RefSeq and is a predicted model, not a curated record.
CCAUCUUAACCGUUGCUCCCUAUCUUUGAUCCAAACACAUGCUUUAUCAAUCAGCGUCUCCGAGUCGACAGGGAGGCAUGAAUUCUUCAACCAGACCGGAGUCCCGGACCUCUGAGAGAGUAAACGGGGAUUUUUGGACUAAAUCCCGGCUGUGUUGCAGAUGCGCAUAUGGAAUAGAAUAGUUGUCAUGAUGACCCGUCCAGGCUUCGCCAAGCUGAACCAUCACUUCUCUGACUUGUCACUUUGUUAUUCUCCCUUUCGCAAACACCAACCAGACUGUCCGAUGUUAUCAGGCAUCCUAAUUCUUGGCACCAGAAGGGCGUCCAGGAUAGGAUCCGGGUGGGGGUGGGGGGUCUGGGGUUCGUCCUUACGUGAAGCCUCUUCAGCAAACAAGAUGAGUGAUGACGUGUAAAAGGAUGUGCUCUUGCAACCCGAGAUGUAAAAGAUGGUGCGGGGAUAACGUGCGACUAGGAGGGAUCACGGAUGAGCUGGAGGAUACCCCAGCUGGCUUUUGGCAAGACAAGUGGGGUUGGACUGCUCGCCAAUCAAUCACAGGGAACACCUAUGGUGUUGGAACGACAGCAGCAACACCUGCACUCCAACAGCAGUAUGGCAGCGGGGUCACACCCUCUCCUACGAUUCGAAUACAAACACUGGCUGGCAGAUGGUGUGCAAAGCCUUCAGCAGCCAAGAUGAAUGUUGGCUUGCCGUCGAGCUGCACUCAUGUAGGCAUGCACGUCCACACUACAUGCUAAUGGUAGGCAACCGGUUAAAAUGAUGCUGAAAUAAA